GACGAACGCUGGCGGCGUGCUUAACACAUGCAAGUCGAACGGAAAGGCACUAAUAUUGUGGGGUGAACAAGUGGCGAACGGGUGAGUAACACGUGAGUAACCUGCCCUUGACUUUGGGAUAACUUCAGGAAACUGGGGCUAAUACCGGAUAGGAGCUCCUGCUGCAUGGUGGGGGUUGGAAAGUUUCGGCGGUUGGGGAUGGACUCGCGGCUUAUCAGCUUGUUGGUGGGGUAGUGGCUUACCAAGGCUUUGACGGGUAGCCGGCCUGAGAGGGUGACCGGCCACAUUGGGACUGAGAUACGGCCCAGACUCCUACGGGAGGCAGCAGUGGGGAAUAUUGCACAAUGGGCGGAAGCCUGAUGCAGCAACGCCGCGUGCGGGAUGACGGCCUUCGGGUUGUAAACCGCUUUCGCCUGUGACGAAGCGUGAGUGACGGUAAUGGGUAAAGAAGCACCGGCUAACUACGUG
Molecule: ribosomal RNA, 468 nt
Filed under: uncultured bacterium
Lineage: Bacteria
Description: partial 16S ribosomal RNA
Rfam family: Bacterial small subunit ribosomal RNA
Source: RNAcentral